AUGAACGCUGGCGGCGUGCCUAAUACAUGCAAGUCGAGCGAACAGACGAGGAGCUUGCUCCUCUGACGUUAGCGGCGGACGGGUGAGUAACACGUGGAUAACCUACCUAUAAGACUGGGAUAACUUCGGGAAACCGGAGCUAAUACCGGAUAAUAUAUUGAACCGCAUGGUUCAAUAGUGAAAGACGGUUUUGCUGUCACUUAUAGAUGGAUCCGCGCCGCAUUAGCUAGUUGGUAAGGUAACGGCUUACCAAGGCAACGAUGCGUAGCCGACCUGAGAGGGUGAUCGGCCACACUGGAAGUGAGACACGGUCCAGACUCCUACGGGAGGAAGCAGUAGGGACUCUUCCGCAAUGGGCGAAAGCCUGACGGAGCAACGCCGCGUGAGUGAUGAAGGUCCUCGGAUCGUAAAACUCUGUUAUUAGGGAAGAACAAAUGUGUAAGUAACUAUGCACGUCUUGACGGUACCUAAUCAGAAAGCCACGGCUAACUACGUG
RNAcentral lists this ribosomal RNA (496 nucleotides) under uncultured bacterium. RNAcentral describes it as "partial 16S ribosomal RNA". It matches the Rfam family "Bacterial small subunit ribosomal RNA", at positions 29 to 507 of the family's 1533-position model. The record is from RNAcentral.